Molecule: non-coding RNA, 72 nt
Organism: Phrynosoma platyrhinos (Desert horned lizard)
Lineage: Eukaryota; Metazoa; Chordata; Lepidosauria; Squamata; Phrynosomatidae
Source: the annotation of a GenBank genome assembly
AUCAGUGUGGUAUAGUGGUUUGAGCAUUGGACUAUGACUCUGGAGAUCAGGGUUCAAUCCCCUGCUCAGCCA